RNAcentral lists this long non-coding RNA (378 nucleotides) under Cavia porcellus (domestic guinea pig). RNAcentral describes it as "lncRNA (ENSCPOG00000035008.1)". The record is from RNAcentral. Lineage: Eukaryota; Metazoa; Chordata; Mammalia; Rodentia; Caviidae.
GAACCGUGCACGGAUCUAAUUUGCAUGUUGAAUUUAUGUUGUUAGGUAUAUUUGCUUGAUUAAGUGGUACUAUUAUGAGGACCCAAGUGCCAUGUUUAACUGAAAAUCAAGAUGCUGAAAAUUAACAAAGGAAUAAGGAAUAAAGAACAGUGUGGCAGCUUUCCGGCUUGCCAGAGUGAUAAGAAGAAGCCGAAUCCUGGAGAAGCUUGUAAAGUGUGGCCCUGGGUGAAGAUUCACAAAAGACAAUACCUACUGAGAAUAUGGCCCUUGAAUCUGCAGCAUAACCUGUUGAUUGUGGCUAACAGGAGACUAUCAUCCACUGCUGAACGGAUGCUAAGGAAAAUGAUAUUCCUUAGCGAAAGGAAUCGAGAGCCCUGA